RNAcentral lists this ribosomal RNA (465 nucleotides) under uncultured bacterium. RNAcentral's name for it is "partial 16S ribosomal RNA". It matches the Rfam family "Bacterial small subunit ribosomal RNA", at positions 28 to 507 of the family's 1533-position model. The record is from RNAcentral.
GAUGAACGCUGGCGGCGUGCUUAACACAUGCAAGUCGAACGGAAAGGCUCCUGCUUGCAGGGGUACUCGAGUGGCGAACGGGUGAGUAACACGUGGGUGAUCUGCCCUGCACUUCGGGAUAAGCCUGGGAAACUGGGUCUAAUACCGGAUAGGAAGCUGGCUUGGAUGCCAUUGUGGAAAGUUUGUCGGUGUGGGAUGAGCUCGCGGCCUAUCAGCUUGUUGGUGGGGUAAUGGCUUACCAAGGCGUCGACGGGUAGCCGGCCUGAGGGGGUGUACGGCCACAUUGGGCCGGAGAUGCGGCCCAGAGCCGUAGGGGCGGCAGCAGACGGGAAGAUUGCACAACGGCAGCAGGCCCGAUGCAGCGAUGCCGCGUGGGGGAAGACGGCUGCCGGGUUGGAACCGCCUUUCGCGCGGGACGAAGCGCAAGUGAGGGUAUCUGGAGAAGAAGCACCGGCUAACUACGUG